CAGGUGCUGCAUGGCUGUCGUCAGCUCGUGUCGUGAGAUGUUCGGUUAAGUCCGCUAACGAGCGCAACCCUCACUGUGUGUUACAUGUGUCACACGGGACUGCCGGUUUUAAGCCGGAGGAAGGCGAGGAUGACGUCAAGUCAGCAUGGCCUUUAUAUCUUGGGCUACACACACGCUACAAUGGUCUGUACAAUAGGUUGCCAAGCCGCGAGGCGGAGCCAAUCCUUAAAGCAGGCCUCAGUUCAGAUUGCAGGCUGCAACCCGCCUGCAUGAAGAUGGAGUUGCUAGUAACCGCAGGUCAGCUAUACUGCGGUGAAUACGUUCCCGGGUCUU
Molecule: ribosomal RNA, 333 nt
Filed under: uncultured Anaerolineaceae bacterium
Lineage: Bacteria; Bacillati; Chloroflexota; Anaerolineae; Anaerolineales; Anaerolineaceae
Description: bacterial SSU rRNA
Rfam family: Bacterial small subunit ribosomal RNA
Source: RNAcentral